Long non-coding RNA from Oncorhynchus tshawytscha (Chinook salmon), 1064 nucleotides. NCBI's taxonomy places the organism in Eukaryota, Metazoa, Chordata, Actinopteri, Salmoniformes, Salmonidae. The record is from Ensembl.
CAGUCAGUCAGUCAGUCCGUUAGUUUCAGCCCAGUCAGUCAGUCAGUCAGUUUCUGCCUAGUCAGUCAGUCAGUCCGUUAGUUUCAGCCCAGUCAGUCAGUCAGUCAGUCAGUUUCAGCCCAGUCAGUCAGUCAGUCAGUUUCUGCCCAGUCAGUCAGUCAGUCCGUUAGUUUCUGCCCAGUCAGUCAGUCAGUCCGUUAGUUUCAGCCCAGUCAGUCAGUCAGCCAGUUUCAGCCCAGUCAGUCAGUCAGUUUCAGCCCAGUCAGUCAGUCAGUCAGUCAUUUUCAGCCCAGUCAGUCAGUCAGUUUCAGCCCAGUCAGUCAGUCAGUUUCAGCCCAGUCAGUCAGUCAGUUUCAGCCAAGUCAGUCAGUCAGUCAGUUUCAGCCCAGUCAGUCAGUCAGUUUCAGCCCAGUCAGUCAGUCAGUCAGUUUCAGCCCAGUAAGUCAGUCAGCCAGUUUCUGCCUAGUCAGUCAGUCAGUCCGUUAGUUUCAGCCCAGUCAGUCAGUCAGUCAGUCAGUUUCAGCCCAGUCAGUCAGUCAGUCAGUUUCUGCCCAGUCAGUCAGUCAGUCCGUUUGUUUCUGCCCAGUCAGUCAGUCAGUCCGUUAGUUUCAGCCCAGUCAGUCAGUCAGCCAGUUUCAGCCCAGUCAGUCAGUCAGUUUUCAGCCCAGUCAGUCAGUCAGUCAGUUUCAGCCCAGUCAGUCAGUCAGUUUCAGCCCAGUCAGUCAGUCAGUUUCAGCCCAGUCAGUCAGUCAGUUUCAGCCCAGUCAGUCAGUCAGUCAGUUUCAGCCCAGUCAGUCAGUCAGUUUCAGCCAGUUUCAGCCUAGUCAGUCAGUCAGUCAGUUUCAGCCCACCCAGUCAGUCAGUCAGUCAGUUUCAGCCCAGUCAGUCAGUCAGUUUCAGCCCAGUCAGUCAGUCAGUCAGUCAGUCAGUUUCAGCCCAGUCAGUCAGUCAGUUUCAGCCCAGUCAGUCAGUCAGUUUCAGCCCAGUCAGUCAGUCAGUCAGUUUCAGCCCAGUCAGUCAGUCAGCCAGUUUCUGCCUAGUCAGUCAGUCAGUCAGUUUCAGCC